CGACCGCCGGGGCGCUGGCCGCGCUCGGCGUGCUGCGGGCGCGGCCCGAGCUGGUCGACGUCGUACGACGCCGCGUGGUCGACC
Molecule: transfer RNA, 84 nt
Filed under: Nocardioides psychrotolerans
Lineage: Bacteria; Bacillati; Actinomycetota; Actinomycetes; Propionibacteriales; Nocardioidaceae
Description: tRNA-Arg
Source: RNAcentral